CACAGUACUCCAGUGAGAGACCAUUCACCUGCUCUGAGUGUGGGAAGCAGUUCAUUCAGAUAUCCAGCUUGAUGAAACACCGGUGAGUUCACAAGUAACCACAGUGAUUGGAUUUAUUUUGUUUGUUCAUGGGAUCAUGGCAUCACUUGCUGGGGCAGCAUUUGUCAUUCAUUCUGACUGCCUAGAAGAUGGUCCAGGGUCAACCCCAUUAUUCAGGGUCCGGAUUCACAUGUCUGCUGGACCAGGUUAGAAUUAACAGUUUCCCAGACCCAAUGACAUGAAGAGUUGAUUUCUGGCCUAUUAUUUAUGUAAUGAUAAUGAAUAAUUUUUGCAGUUGAAUUAAAAGUGAAAAACCAAAAUGUGUUUUAUUCUGAUUGAGCACGUCCUCCUUUUUUCUCAGUUGUUAUUGAUAGUCUCAUUCCUCUCGCACCA
Chiloscyllium plagiosum (whitespotted bambooshark) is the source of this 432-nucleotide non-coding RNA. Lineage: Eukaryota; Metazoa; Chordata; Chondrichthyes; Orectolobiformes; Hemiscylliidae. The record is from RefSeq and is a predicted model, not a curated record.